This 1285-nucleotide ribosomal RNA is filed under the name Microbacterium sp. RNAcentral's name for it is "bacterial SSU rRNA". It matches the Rfam family "Bacterial small subunit ribosomal RNA", at positions 56 to 1352 of the family's 1533-position model. Lineage: Bacteria; Bacillati; Actinomycetota; Actinomycetes; Micrococcales; Microbacteriaceae. The record is from RNAcentral.
UGCAGUCGAACGGUGAACACGGAGCUUGCUCUGUGGGAUCAGUGGCGAACGGGUGAGUAACACGUGAGCAACCUGCCCCUGACUCUGGGAUAAGCGCUGGAAACGGCGUCUAAUACUGGAUAUGUGACGUGACCGCAUGGUCUGCGUCUGGAAAGAAUUUCGGUUGGGGAUGGGCUCGCGGCCUAUCAGCUUGUUGGUGAGGUAAUGGCUCACCAAGGCGUCGACGGGUAGCCGGCCUGAGAGGGUGACCGGCCACACUGGGACUGAGACACGGCCCAGACUCCUACGGGAGGCAGCAGUGGGGAAUAUUGCACAAUGGGCGCAAGCCUGAUGCAGCAACGCCGCGUGAGGGACGACGGCCUUCGGGUUGUAAACCUCUUUUAGCAGGGAAGAAGCGAAAGUGACGGUACCUGCAGAAAAAGCGCCGGCUAACUACGUGCCAGCAGCCGCGGUAAUACGUAGGGCGCAAGCGUUAUCCGGAAUUAUUGGGCGUAAAGAGCUCGUAGGCGGUUUGUCGCGUCUGCUGUGAAAUCCGGAGGCUCAACCUCCGGCCUGCAGUGGGUACGGGCAGACUAGAGUGCGGUAGGGGAGAUUGGAAUUCCUGGUGUAGCGGUGGAAUGCGCAGAUAUCAGGAGGAACACCGAUGGCGAAGGCAGAUCUCUGGGCCGUAACUGACGCUGAGGAGCGAAAGGGUGGGGAGCAAACAGGCUUAGAUACCCUGGUAGUCCACCCCGUAAACGUUGGGAACUAGUUGUGGGGUCCAUUCCACGGAUUCCGUGACGCAGCUAACGCAUUAAGUUCCCCGCCUGGGGAGUACGGCCGCAAGGCUAAAACUCAAAGGAAUUGACGGGGACCCGCACAAGCGGCGGAGCAUGCGGAUUAAUUCGAUGCAACGCGAAGAACCUUACCAAGGCUUGACAUAUACGAGAACGGGCCAGAAAUGGUCAACUCUUUGGACACUCGUAAACAGGUGGUGCAUGGUUGUCGUCAGCUCGUGUCGUGAGAUGUUGGGUUAAGUCCCGCAACGAGCGCAACCCUCGUUCUAUGUUGCCAGCACGUAAUGGUGGGAACUCAUGGGAUACUGCCGGGGUCAACUCGGAGGAAGGUGGGGAUGACGUCAAAUCAUCAUGCCCCUUAUGUCUUGGGCUUCACGCAUGCUACAAUGGCCGGUACAAAGGGCUGCAAUACCGCGAGGUGGAGCGAAUCCCAAAAAGCCGGUCCCAGUUCGGAUUGAGGUCUGCAACUCGACCUCAUGAAGUCGGAGUCGCUAGUAAUCGCAGAUCAG